Long non-coding RNA from Lytechinus pictus (painted urchin), 1163 nucleotides. RefSeq lists it as uncharacterized. The transcript has 5 exons. The record is from RefSeq and is a predicted model, not a curated record. Lineage: Eukaryota; Metazoa; Echinodermata; Echinoidea; Temnopleuroida; Toxopneustidae.
AGACGUCAAAGACGACAACAGUAUUCGCUAUUAACAAGUUUAUCUGACCCUGUACUCGCACGAUCCUGCAACCUUUGCUCAAGUCUUGAAACAAGAUGAAGUCCACGCGAUUCGCCAUUCCUCUCUUCAUGGUACUCAUCUUCAUUGUUUACCAAGCUUCUUCAUCUCAUGGUUUCGUAUAUACUGUUCCCAAAGAUGUGGAUGAGGAAAGAGCAUCUGCUGAAGUGCGCGAGGACCGUAGGAAUGUGAAACUUGAAGAGUCUGUUGAGGAAAGUGAUUGUCCUCCCGGCCUGUGGUGUGGUUCGAUGUAAAAAUGGCAGAGGAAAUGCGGGAGGACCGAAUGAAAACUGAAAAUGGGAUUAGGAUUGACAUAUGUCAUAAUGUCGACAAACGUAAUCGAUAAUCUUGAAUGCAUUCAUAUUCCAUCAUCAAAAUCUGCAGUAGUGCAUCAUUAUUUUGAAUCAGCGUUGUUAAUCACAUAAAUGUUUAUCAUGUUCACUAUGACCGAGAAAUACGAUUACAACAUCAGCUUAACUUACUUACUAACUCAAAGGUCAAGUCCACCCAAGAAAAAUGUUUAUUUUAAUCAACAAUGGUAUUACCACAAAGUCAUGUUCAGGGAGGAAUAAAACCUUUUUUUACAGGACAACGGGGAGAAAAUUAUGAAAUUUCAUUUUUCAUAUAAUAAACUACAAAAAAUAGUGAGUGAGUGAUGUCAUCAGUCCUCUCAUUUGCAUACCGACCAGGAUGUGAAUAUAACAGUUUUGUGAGAUUAAGCGAAAAUUAAAAAUAUAAAUAUUUCUUUAUUCUACAUCCGAUUUUGAUGAAAUUUUCAGUGUAAUGCUUGUUUGAUUUUUCUUUUUUUUUUCAAAUCAACUUUUUGUAGGGAUGGACUUGUCCUAUAAUAAACUCUCAAUAAUUUCAGCAUUAUCUCAAUCAUAACAAUCAUUAUUUUUUUGUUGCAGACCUACAAAUUGGCGGGUUACAUUAUUAAUUCUCUUAAAUGCACAGACACCAGAAUAUAUUUAGCAAGAGUGACAUGAAAUCAUGUGUAAUCCAUUAAAAUAAUAUACAAAGAUGAAAAAUAAUGUAUAUCUUGUUAUUUCAAAUUGUCAUAUUUUUGAAAAGGUGUUCAAAUAUAUCGCUUUCUUAUGUGCUGACUU